RNAcentral lists this ribosomal RNA (414 nucleotides) under uncultured bacterium. RNAcentral describes it as "bacterial SSU rRNA". It matches the Rfam family "Bacterial small subunit ribosomal RNA", at positions 355 to 786 of the family's 1533-position model. The record is from RNAcentral.
UCGGGAAUAUUGCGCAAUGGAGGAAACUCUGACGCAGUGACGCCGCGUAUAGGAAGAAGUUUUUCGGAAUGUAAACUAUUGUCGUUAGGGAAGAGAAAGGACAGUACCUAAGGAGGAAGCUCCGGCUAACUACGUGCCAGCAGCCGCGGUAAUACGUAGGGAGCGAGCGUUAUCCGGAAUUAUUGGGUGUAAAGGGUGCGUAGACGGGAGAGCAAGUUAGUUGUGAAAUCCCUCGGCUUAACUGAGGAACUGCAACUAAACUACUUUUCUUGAGUGCAGGAGAGGUAAGUGGAAUUCCUAGUGUAGCGGUGAAAUGCGUAGAUAUUAGGAGGAACACCAGUGGCGAAGGCGGCUUACUGGACAGUGACUGACGUUGAGGCUCGAAAGCGUGGGGAGCAAACAGGAUUAGAUACC